GCACUGCUGAGGAGUCCCAUAAUAGUACGAAACAGCCGUCCAGUAC
Schistosoma mansoni is the source of this 46-nucleotide non-coding RNA. Lineage: Eukaryota; Metazoa; Platyhelminthes; Trematoda; Strigeidida; Schistosomatidae. The record is from Rfam.